This 70-nucleotide transfer RNA is filed under the name Camelus bactrianus (Bactrian camel). It matches the Rfam family "tRNA". From Rfam's summary of the family: Transfer RNA (tRNA) molecules are approximately 80 nucleotides in length. Their secondary structure includes four short double-helical elements and three loops (D, anti-codon, and T loops). The record is from Rfam by way of RNAcentral. Lineage: Eukaryota; Metazoa; Chordata; Mammalia; Artiodactyla; Camelidae. RNAcentral also lists the same sequence under 2 other names.
GAGGGUAUAGCUCAGUGGUAGAGUGUGUGCUUCGCACGCACAGUCUUAGGUUCAAGCCCCAGUACCUCCA